GUGCUUGCUUCAGCAGGACAUGUACUAAAAUUGGAGCAAUACAGAGAAGAUUAGCCCCUGUGCAAGGUGACACACAAAUUUGUGAAGCAUUCCAUAUUUUU
RNAcentral lists this small nuclear RNA (101 nucleotides) under Castor canadensis (American beaver). The record is from RNAcentral. Lineage: Eukaryota; Metazoa; Chordata; Mammalia; Rodentia; Castoridae.